Molecule: long non-coding RNA, 886 nt
Filed under: Chinchilla lanigera (long-tailed chinchilla)
Lineage: Eukaryota; Metazoa; Chordata; Mammalia; Rodentia; Chinchillidae
Description: lncRNA (ENSCLAG00000024746.1)
Source: RNAcentral
CCAAUCUGCAGUUAACGGAUAAUUUUAAGUGGAACUUAGGUGACACCAGAUUUCCUUCUUCAGUGUGACAGCUGAUCAUAUUUUGGGGAGUAGAGUUACCACAGAUACCAUAUUUCCAUUGCAGACUGUUUCGGGGUCCCAGACUCCUUGGGUACCAUCCAGGUCAUUCAUGUUUCGAUGAGAUAUACACAGAUGCUGAAGUGCUACCAAGACCGGAAGAGCCAGGACCAGCUUCAUCCUUUGGAAUGCUCUGCAGGGAAGAGCGCGGGUUCAGAACUUCGGCAACUGCAGAAACUUCUAUGCCACAAAGCCGAUUUUUUUAAACAUUGAAGAUUCAUGGUAGGGUACUAAAUCUGGCUGUAACAGCAGGCUUCACAGCCUGCUCCUCUCGCUUCCUCCUCCUCCCUCCCUUCGUAGGAGUCCGGGCCUUGACAACAGAUGUCCCUUUUUCCACCCUGCAGCAGACAGCCAGGAGCACCUUGACACAGAGCGACAGCCUGCAAGGCUUCGGGGUCGUCUUCAAGGAAAGAGAAACUCAACCACUGUUUAAGUUGCAGGAGAAAAUAUUUCAUAAACAGAGACCGUUUGAAGUGAGUGGCUCCCUGAAUACAGGAAAGAGGUGUCCCACAUCCCCUACCCUGCCGGCUGGCUCUCGCCAUGGUUCUGCAAAGUAAGCAGAGCGCUGCAGUUGAUCGUCAAGGAUUCUGUCAUAUGGUCUACCAUUAAGGCCAUCUUGACUCAAGCUUUUUCCAUCAGUUAACUUAGUUUUGAAAAUGUUUGCAUACAUUAAAAUAAAAUAAAUUAGAGCUCUUAUUCAGAUGCAUUGCGUCACCAUCAGUAUAAGGUAACUCUAGACAUGACUAUAGGGACAGAAGAACAAAACCUG